UUUUGGCCAAUGGGCGCAAGCCUGAUCCAGCCAUUCGGGUGGAGUGAAAAAGCCCUUCGGUUUUAAAAGCUUUUUGGCAAGGGGAGAAAGUUUAAUCUUUAAUAUUGAGUGAAUAUGACGGUACCUUGAUAAGAAGCACCGGCUAACUACGUGCCAGCAGCCGCGGUAAUACGUAGGGGGCGAGCGUUAAUCGGAAUUACUGGGCGUAAAGGGUGCGCAGGCGGCCAUGUAAGUCAGAUGUGAAAUCCCCGAGCUCAACUUGGGAACUGCGUUUGAAACUGCAAGACUAGAAUAGGUCAGAGGGGGGUAGAAUUCCACGUGUAGCAGUGAAAUGCGCAGAUAUUGGGAGGAAAUAUCAAUGGCGAAGGCGAGCAUCCCGGGACCUAAAUAUUGACGCGCGUGCGCGAGU
RNAcentral lists this ribosomal RNA (409 nucleotides) under uncultured bacterium. RNAcentral describes it as "bacterial SSU rRNA". It matches the Rfam family "Bacterial small subunit ribosomal RNA", at positions 362 to 758 of the family's 1533-position model. The record is from RNAcentral.